This 14770-nucleotide long non-coding RNA is filed under the name Nicotiana benthamiana. Its description in RNAcentral is "long non-coding RNA (NBEN_LNC020272)". The record is from RNAcentral. Lineage: Eukaryota; Viridiplantae; Streptophyta; Magnoliopsida; Solanales; Solanaceae.
UCCGCCGUUACACUCUCCCCUCACUUCUCAAAUUCUCUCUGCUAAAACCUAAAGCUCUCACUGGCCGUUGACUUACCAGUAAAUAUGGUGGUCUCACCACCAUCCCAAUCCCCAUGGCUCCUUCCUACAUUGGGUUACUGCUGCUUUGAGGUCCUCAAAGGAACUGGAGGAAGUGCAAGUCACCUCUCAUAGUUUCUAUGUCAUUCUCAUGCCUUCCAUUACCAUUCGAGUAUGAUUCUACCAUCUCAAGCUAGAACCUGUUGUUUCUAGGCCGGAAUCUCUCAAUCUCUGGGUUCUCUCUUUGGAACCCUGAUUUUGACUCUUGAUUUCUAAGAUCUGUAACUUGAUUUGUGUCUAUUUGAGUUAUCUUUACUAUUUUCUUAAGGAUUUCUACGACUUCUUCUAAAACGGCUCUUCGUCUUCAAAGUAGGGUUUCUUAACCCCUCUUAAAAACGGAUUUUCCUUCUAAUUUUAGCAAUUUUCUAUGAUUUUUUGCCAUGUUUAAAUAUUUAUUUUAGUUUUCUCUUUCUAUCAGAGUUAUCAUGUUAAAACACUAAGUUUUUUGGUUUUAAUCCUGGAUUCUUAGUUUGUUUUGUGAUAAUAUGUUCGCUUAAUCUGUAUAUGUGCUUGUUUCUCAUGAGCCUUAUGAUUCUAUGUGGUUUUACCCUAUUUUUUUCAUCAGUGUCUCUGACUUUUACUUCUUCCACCUAUGUCAUGUUUAUUAUAUUAAUUCAUGCUAUGCUCUAUAUGAAUCCCUAAUUUUAUGUGAUAUACCCUAUUUGGCUUAUUAGGGUUUAUGAUUCUUGCCUAUUAUGUGUUUAUUCCGUUUGUUCUCAUAAAUUUGUGUCAAUUUAUCCUAAAUCAACACUAUUUGCUAUUUUGAAUUUUUGAAUCUUUGUGUCACAACCCCAGUUCACCUUCCGUGAACUGUCGUGAUGGCACAUAGUCUUACGACUAGGUAAGCCUAACAAGUGCGAAAAUUAAAUCGAAACAUGCAGAAAUAUAUAAUUCUAAAACUAAGAAUAACUAAAACGAAUGGUGUCUAGUAUGCGCUCGGCAUAUAAACAACAAUAUCUCAAAACUUCUACAUCACUAUCCCAAAACCCGGAAACUACGAGAACACAAGCUAGAAGGAAUACAUUUGCUCAAAUCUCCAGAAUGUCUACAUCAACACUAUAAUAGAAGGACUAACACUACAAGAUAGAAUGAAGAUGGAGACUCUUUGGCCUGCGGACGCGGCAAAAGUACCUCGAAGUCUCCAAAAGCUCUUCCUGCCUCAAUUAUGAUAAGCAUGUGCGGAAGUACCUGAAUCUGCACAUGAAAAACAUGCACAAAAAUGGCAUGAGUACCCCACAGCGGCACUCAGUAAGUGCUAAGUCUAACCUCAUUCGGGUGGUGAUGAGGAAGGUCAGGGCCCUACUGAGAUCAAAUAAAAUAUAAGACUUAACAGUGUAGAUUAAACAAUAUAAUAAGCACAGUGAUGGAAUAAGACAUGUUGUACAAGGUAACAAUAGAUAUACAACGAAUAGAGUAACCACGGAAAAUAAGUGCAGCCCAACAUCAAUAGUAACAACGAGGAUCUCCUAGGAUACCGUCCUGUAGUCUCUUCCAUCAACUGUCCAGUGGAUCUCCCGGGAUACCGUCCCGUAGUACAGUUAUUAAUGCGCGGGGAUCUACCAAAUAUCUCGAUUCUUAGUCUCUAAAUAUAAAUACCCAAUACUAGGGGAAUCUACCGGGUGCAUUCCCAUUAUUCCAUAUAGCUGUGCAGGGGCAUCAUCGGGAAUCUGACAGCAGUCCCAAUGUAAAAGUGCAGGGGGAAUCUAUCAGGAAUCUAACCCACAGACCCAAAGUAAAUGUGCAGCAGGGAUCUAUUGGGAAUUUAACCCGCAAUCCCAAAGUAUACAGGUCAGGGGGAGCUACCAGAACCCCACAACCGUAGUCCUAAUGUAAAUACACAUCAACAACAAGAAAAUAUUCAGAGAAGGGAAAUUUCAUAGUAAGGCAACAAAUAAUUCUAGCCUAGCAUGCUGCACAGAGUUUAGGUAAACAGAUUGAACAAUUAAGGCAAUUAAAUCACUUAAACAUGCUUCCUAAGCUAACACAUGCCUAAAUAAUACAAGUAGUAAAAGCAGGAUAAGGAACAUACUAAAGAGUGCUUUAAGAAAAUCGAAUUUCCAACAAUCUUCAGAAGGAUGCACUCGCCACCUCACGUACAGGAAAUUACAAUUACCAAAUAUAUCCAUCUUAAGGGGAAGGUCCCCCACACAAGGUUAGACAAUCCACUUACCUCAAACCGGCUCAAAAAUCAACUCGAAACCACACUUUUGCCAUGAGUAUCUGACUCCAAAUGACCUAAAUCUAUUCAAUUCAAUUGCAUAUUUUAAAUAACAUUUCAAGAAACUAAUUCUACAAUUAAAUUUUAAGCUAAUACGCAAAAUCAUAUAAAAUGACCAAAACACCCCACAUGCGAACGUCUCGAAAUCAGGUGAAAUUAACAUUUUCAGAAACCUCAUUCUCUCACGAGUGUAAUCACUCAAAAAUCUCCCAAAUCGGAUGUCAAAAACCCAAUCAAUACUCAAUUUCUAGGUCUAAGAACGUUUCCCCAAUUUUCAUUCAAAAUCCGAAAUUAAAGGAGGAAUUCAUGCUUAGAUUAAUGGUUUACAAGCAAAAGGGAGUUAAGAAUCAUUACCAACAACCUUCCUCCAAAAAUCUCUCCAAAAUUCGUCUCCUACUGAUCUCCCAUUAAAUUUUGUGAUAUGAACUCAAAACCCUCGUUUUGAACUUAAACAUUCUGCCCUGCUAUUCCUUAAUUGCGAUCGCGACAUUAGCCUCGUGAUCGCGAAAUAUAAAAUUGACUACCCCUUGAUUGACUCUAAGGGAUCGCACAUGCUCCACGCGAACAAGAAGCUAUAACACUCAAACUCACGCGAUCGCAACAAUAACUACAUGAUUAUGAAUCUAUACCACAUAGACUCAUGCGAUCGCAAUCCUACUCACGAGGUCACAUAGAACAACUCGGCCCUUUCCCCCAAUAAGCCUAUGCUAUCGGGGCCCCUUAUACGCGAUCGCAAAGAACAAAAUGUCUGCAACAGACCUGAAGCAAAAUCUGCAACUUUACCAACUUGAAAUGAUCCGUUUAACCACCCGAAACACACCCGGGGCCCCCGGGACCCAAGCCAAAUGCACCAACAUAUCCUAACACCUUUUUUGAACUUGUACCAAUCCAUAAACGACCUAAAACAACAUUAGAAACUCUAAUUAAUCAAGGAUUUAAGCCUAAGAACUCCCAAUUUCCUCAAAAUAUGCUUUCGAUAAGAAUCCAACCAAACCACAUCCGAAUGACCUUAAACUUUUCAUGCACAUUUCAAAUGGCAUAACAAAACUACUACAACUCUUGGAAUUCCAUUCCGACCCUCGAAUAAAAAUCUCACUAUCAAACCAGAAACUUACAAAAAUUCAACCUUUGGCAUUUCAGCCUAAAUUAGCUACAGACCUCCAAAACAUAAUCUGAAUAUGUUCCUAACCCUAAACUCACCUAACGAAGCUAACAGAACCAUUUGAUUUCCAUUCAGAGGCGUAUUCACACUGUUCUGACUAUGGUCAAUUUUUCCAACAUUUAAGCUCUCAUUUAGGGAUUAAUGUCUCAAAACUCUACGAACUCAAAACCGAACAUCUUGAGAAAUCAAAUUAGCAUAAAUAAACUUGGAGAAAGCAGUAAAUAAGGGAUCAUGGCAUUAAUUCUUAAGACGAUCGGUCAGGUCGCCACAUCCUCCUACACUUAUACAUUUGUUCGUCCUCGAACGAGUAUAGAGACAUACCUGAAGUAGUGAAAAGAUGAGGGUAACAGCUGCACAUGUCUUGCUCGGUCUCCCAGGUCACCUCCUCAACCGGCUGACCCUUCCACUGAACCUUUACUGAAGCUAUGUUCUUUCACUUCAACUUUCUGACCCGCCUGUCCAAUAUAGCAACUGGCUCCUCAACAUAAGAUAGAUCCUUGUCCAACUGGACUGAGCUGAAAUCCAAUGCGUGCGACAAAUCACCGUGAUACCUCUGGAUCAUCGAAACAUGAAAUACCGAGUGGACUCCUGCUAGGCUGGGAGGUAAGGCAAGCUCAUGAGCAACCUCCUCAACUCGCCGCAAUAUCUCAAAAGGGCCAAUAACCUCGGGCUUAUUUUUCUAUUUAUUUCCACAUCUCAUAAUCCCUUUCAUAGGCGAAACCUGAAGCAGAACUCGCUCUCCAACCAUUAGGAAACAUCACGAACCUUCCGGUACACAUAGCUCAUCUGUCUGGACUAGGCUAUACGGAUCCUAUCCUGAAUCACCUUAACCUUCUCUAAAGCAUCCUAAACCAAAUUUGUGCCCAAUAGCCUAACCUUACCCAACUCGAACAAACUCACCGGAGGUCUACACCGUCUACCAUACAAAGCCUCAUACGGUGCCAUCUAAAUGCUGGACGGAUAACUGUUAUUGUAAGAAAACUCUGCCAAUGGAAAGAACUGAUCCCAAGAACCCCCAAAACCCAUCACACACGCAGGGAACAUAUCCUCAGUAUCUGAAUAGUGCGCGGACUGCCUGUCCGUCUGAGGGUGAAAUGUCGUGCUCAAUUCCACCUCAGUGCCUAAUUCCUCCUGUAGGGCUUUCCAAAACCGCGAUGUGAACUGAGUAUCUCUGUCUGAAAUGAUAGAAAUUGGGAUACCAUGUAGACGGACAAUCUCCCAGAUGUAAAUCUUUGUAACCACUCCGAAGAAUAAGUGGUACAUAAGGAAUGACAUGAGCGGACUUGGUUAGCCGAUCCAUAAUAACCCAAAUGGCAUCAAACCUCUUUAAAUUCCAUGGGAGUCUAGAUACAAAGUCCAUAGCUUCCACUUCCUCUCCGGAAUCUCUAUCAGCUGAAGCAAUCCACCCGACCUCUAGUGCUCAUACUUCACAUGCUGACAGUUGAGGCACCAAGCUACAAACCUAACUAAGGCUUUCUUCAUCCGCCUCCACCAAUAGUGCUAGCUCAAGUCCUGAUACAUUUUUACGGCACCCGGAUGAAUGGAAUACUGCGAACUGUAGGCCUCCUCUAGAAUGACCUCUUUAAGUAAACAUUUGGUACAUAAACCCGACCCUGCAUCCUCAAUACUCUGUCCUCGCCAAUGGUCAUAUCUAUGGCAUUACCAUGUUGAACCUUGUCCUUAAGGACAAGCAAAUAAGGGUUAUCAUACUGUUGCUCCCUGAUACGAUCAAACAAUGAAUACCGAGAAACCACGCAAGCUAGAACCCAAUUGGGCUUCCAAAGAUCCGAUAUCACAAACUGGCUUGCUUAGGGCUGAACAUCUAUCGCCAUAGGCCUCUCCGAUGCUUGUAAAUAUGCCAAACUCCCCAAACUUUCUGCCCGACUACUCAAGACGUCAGCCACUACAUUGGCCUUGCUUGAGUGAUAUAAAAUAUUGAUGUCAUAUUCCUUCAGCAACUCUAACCACCUCCGCUGGCGUAAAUUUAGAUCCUUUUGUUGAACAAAUGCUGUAAGCUCCGGUGGUCACUAUAAAUCUCACAAGGCACACCGAAAAGAUAAUGGCGCCAAAUCUUCAGGACGUGAACAAUACAGCUAGCUCAAAAUCAUGGACAAGAUAAUUCUUCUCAUGUAUCUUUAGCUGUCUGGACGCGUAGUUAAUCACCCAACUGUCCUGCAUCAACACUGCUCCAAGGCCAACUCUCGAGGCAUCAAAAUAGACAAUAUAAGACCCCAAACUAGUAGGAAAUAUCAAAACUGGGGCUGUAGUCAAAGUUGGCUGGAGCUUCUGAAAGCUCGCCUCACACUUCUUUGUCUGCUAAAAUGGAGCACCCUUCUGGGUCUAUCUGGUCAUAUGGGCUGGAAUCAAUGAAAACCCCUCCACAGAACGAUGGUAGUAGCCUGCCAAACCAAGGAAACUAUGAAUAUCUAUAGUUGAGGAUGGUCUGGACCAACUCUGCACGGCCUCUACCUUCUUCAAAUCCAUUCAAAUACCCUCACUUGAUACUACGUGGCCUAAGAAUGCCACGGAAUCAAACCAAAACUCACAUUUUGAAAACUUUGCUUAUAAUUUAUUUUCCCUCAAAGUCUGCAACACUGUCCUUAGAUGCUGCUCAUGAUCUUCCCGACUUUGGGAACUCACUAGAAUGUCAUAAAUAAAGACAAUGACAAAAGAGAAAAUAUAUGGCCGGAAUACACUGUGCAUCAAAUGCAUAACAGCUGCUGGGGCAUUGGUCAGCCCAAAUGACAUAAAAAGAAACUCGUAAUGAGCGUACCGAAUCCGGAAAGCACUUUUCAGGAUAUCUGGCUCCCGAAUCUUCAACUAAUUGAAACUUGAGCGCAAAUCAAUCUUUGAAAACACCCGUGCGCCUUGAAUCUUGUCAAAUAGAUCAUCAAUAUGAGAUAAAUGAUAACGGUUCUUCAAGAUAUCCUCGUUCAACUGGCGAUAAUCAAUACACAAAACCAUAGAACUAUCCCUUUUCUUCACAAACUAGACAGGAGCAUCCUAAGGUGAAAUACUGGGCUGAAUAAAACUUUUAUCAAGAUAUUCAUGCAACUGAUCGUUCAACUCCUUCAACUCAAAAGAAGCCAUUCGAUACGGAGGAAUAGAAAUAGGCUGAGUGCCCGACAACAAAUCAAUGCUAAAAUCAAUGUCUCUAUCAGGCGGCAUAUCCGGAAGGUCGGCUGGAAACACAUCGGAGAAAUCCCACACUACAGGAAUAGAAUAAACAGAAAGGGUAUCAAUACUGACAUCUCCCACAUAAUCUAGAUACGCGUCACACCCCUUCUCAAGAAUACGCUGAGCCUAGAGGAAAGAAAUAACUCUACUGGGAGUAUGAUCUAAGGCAAUUCUCUACUCAACACGCAGUACACCUGGCAUAGCUAGUGUCACAAUUUUGGCGUGAUAAUCAAGAAUAGCAUAAUGGUGAAACAACAUGUCCAUGCCCAAGAUAAUAUUGAAAUCCACCAUGCUGAGUAACAACAGAUCGGCACUGGUCUCAAAACCAUGGAGAGUAACAAAACACGAUCGAUAAACGUAGUCCACAACAAGUGAAUCUCCUACAAGAGUAGAAAAAUAAAUAGGGGAUCUCAAAGAAUCCCGAGGUACACCCAAAUGCAGAGCAAAAUAAAAAGACACACAAGAGUAAGUAGAGCCUGGAUCGAAUAAAACCGAUGCAUCUCAGUGGCAAACCAAUAUAAUACCUGUGAUGAUAGAAUCGAAGGAAACAACCUCGGUAUGGGCAGGCAUGGCAUAGUAUCUAACUUGGACUCCCACUCUAGGGCGAACUCUACCUCCCCGACCUCACCUCUAGCUGGCUGAGAAGGCGGGGUAGCGACUGGAGCCGAAACCAUGGCCUAAGAACUCUACAAGGCACGCUGUGGCUAGGAAGUCUGUGGAGGUGCACCCAUCUCAAGUCUAGGAGAAUCCCUCACCAUAUGGAAUAUGUCACCACACUCAAAACAAGAUUUGGGAGGACAUGGUCGCUGUGACUAGCUAGGGUCAAAUCUGCUGGACUAACCUUUGAAAGAACCUCACGCAGGAGGCGCGCUAGAAAUCGGAGGUGCAUAAUAAGGCUUCUAAGGCCAAGGAGGAGCUGGAUCACUACUGGCUGCUGGAAGAGCUAAAUGAACAUGAUGAAUCAUGUAACCCCUACCAUGAUGACCAGUAUCUCGGGUACGGGCAACAGAAUAAUGGCUCGACUCUCGAUACCUCUUGGCCAAUCUCUCCCAUAUUUCCUUAGCAUGCAUAAACUCAAUCCUCCUAGCAAUGCUCACCACCUGCUGAUAAAAAAUAUCCAUCUGCAACUCAGGAUCCAUGCUAGAUCUGAUGUUGGGAGUAAGCCCCUCAAUAAACCGGCGAACCCUCUCGCAAAUACUAGCAAUCAAGGAUGGUGCAUGAAUAGCGAAACUGGUGUAAUAGACAUCAUACUCUGAAACAGUCCUAACACCCUAGCGCAAUUGCUCAAACUCUGUGCACCAUGUGUCCCUAAGGCUCUGAGGAACAUACUCUCUCAGGAGCAGAUAUGAAAACUGAGCCCUAGUUAGUAAAGUAGUCUCAUCUGGACUAUCUAACUCAUAGGUGCGCCACAACUCAUUAGCGGCCCCUCGAGGUUGAAAGGUAGAGAAAGAAACCUUGGUAGAUCCUGAAAUACCCAUGGUACAUAUAAUGCAGUAACACUCAUCAAGAAAUCCCAUAGCAUCCUCUGAUGUUAGACCACUGAAUAUAGGAGGCUUGUACUUCUUGAACUUCUCAAAACUCAGCUGCUCAUCCUCGGAAGCCGCUGUCCUAUCCUCGGGUUGAACAGGCGCUGUAAGUGGUACUGGAAUAAUCUCGAGGACUUUCUCAACAAGCACUUUCUGCUCAAGAGUGCGGCAGGUGGGGGUCUGUGCUCCUCUCCCGGCCUAGGAUGUGGCUGUAGAAAGGGGGAGCAACCCUUCCUAAGUCAAAGUGGUGUACAUGCUCAUGAACUAUGCCAGAGUCUCCUGAAGAGUUGGAGUAGUGGUAGCAGUAGUAGUAGGCAUGUAAGGUGCCCGGACUCAGGCUGGAUCUGCUCGUGGUACCUCGGCGGUAGCUCAUGCAGGUGCUAGAGCUGCACCAAGUCUGAGUCCUCGACCUCUGACCCGACCUUGGCCUCUGGCGGCUACAGUAGGGGCACGGGUGCCUGAUCCUUUUGGGUAGCACGUGUCCUCACCAUUUGUGAGAGAAUAGAAAUACAGAUGUUUAGUUGUGAUAUCAAACUCUCAUGACAGGAAAUGAAAUGAAGUAGAAUUUUCUUAUCAAUUACAUAGCCUCUCUAGAUAAGUACAGAUAUCUCUGUACCGAUCAGAGAGACUCUAAUAAACCAGCAUGUGUUCUUGACUCCGAUAAAACUAGAGCUCUGAUACCAACUUGUCACGACCCCGGUUCGCCCUCCGUGAACUGUCGUGAUGACACCUAGUAUUACGACUAGGUAAGUCUAACAAGUGCAGAAAUAAAAUCGAAACUUGCAGAAUUAAAUAAAUGUAUAACUAAGAAUAACUAAAAGGAAUGGUUUAUAAUAUGCCGCUUAGCAUAUACAACACAAUAUCUCAAAUUUCUACACCACUAUCCCAAAACCCAGGAACUCACGAGAACACAAGCUAGAAGGAAUACAUUAAAGUGCUCAAUCUCCAGAAUUUCUACAUCAACGGUACGAUAGAAGGGCUAACACUACAAGACAGAAUAAAGAUGGAGACUCUUCGGUCUAUGGAUGUCGCAGAAGUACCUCGAAGUUUCCAAUGCUCUCUUUGUCUCAAGGAUGAUAAGCCUGUGCAAAAGUACCUAAAUCUGCACAUGAAAAUCAUACGCAGAAAGGGCAUGAGUACACCACAACGGUAUUUAGUAAGUGCCAAGACUAAACUCGGUCGGGUGGUUAGGAGGAAGGUCAGGGCCCUACUGAGAUAAAAUAAAAUAUAUGAUUUAACAGUGUAGAGUAAACAAUAUAAUGAGUACAUCGAUGGAGUAAGACAAGUUAUACAAGUUAACAACAAAUAUAUAAUGAACAAAGUAACCACUGAAAAGAAGAGCAGCCCAACACAAAUAGUAACAACGAGGAUGUCCUAGGAUACCGUCCUGUAGUCCCUUUUAUCAACUAUCCAGUGGAUCUCCUAGAAUGCCAUCCUGUAUUUCAAUUAUUAAUACGGGGAACUACUAGGAAUAUUGAUCCGUAUUCCCUAAAUAUAAAUAUCCAGUACUACGGGAAUCUACCGGGUGCAUUCCCAUAGUUCUAUUUAACUGUGCAGGGAGUCUAUGGGAAAUCUAACCCACAGUCCCAAAGUAAAAGUGUAGGGAUGAUCUUUCGGGAAUCGAACCCACAGUCCCAAAGUAAAUGUGCAGGAGGAUCUAUCGGGAAUCUAACUCGCAGUCAUAAAUUAAAAAGACAAGGGGGAGCUACCGGAAUCCUACAUCCGUAGUCCCAACGUAAACACACAACACCAACACGAAAAUAUUUAGAGAAGGAAAAUUUCAUAUUAAGGCAGCAAAUAAUUCUAGCCUAGCAUGCUGCAUAGAGUUUAGGUAAAUAGAUUGAACAAUUAAGGCAACAAAAUCAAUUAGACAUGCUUUCCUAAGCUAACACAGGCUUAAAUAGUACAAGUAAUAAAAGCAGGAUAAGGAACAUACUAAUAAGUGCUUAAAGAAAACCAAAUUUCUAACAAUUUCACAAGUACGCACUAUUCAUCUCACGUACAAGGCAUUACAAUUACCAAAUAUAUCCAUCUUAAGGGGAAGGUCCCUCACACAAGGUUAGACAAGCCACUUACCUCAAAGCGACUCAAAAAUAAACUCGAAACCACACUUUUCCCACAAGUAUCAAACUCCAAAUGACCCAAAUCUAUUCAAUUCAAUUGCAUAUUGUAAAUAACACUUCAAGAAACUGAUUCUACCAUUAAACUCUAAGCUAAUACACAAAAUCAUGUAAAAUGACCAAUAUUCCCUUAGGCCAACAUUUCAGAAUCAGGUGAAAUUAACAAUUUCAGAAACCUCGUACUCUCACGAGUCUAGUCAUACAAAAAUCUCUGAAAUUGUAUGUCAAAAACCCAAUCAAAAACUCAAUUUCUAGGUCUAAGAACUUUUUCCCAACUUUCAUUCAAAAUCCAAAAUUAAAGGAGGAAUUCAUGCUUAGAUUAAUGGGCUACAAGAAAAAGGAGUUAAGAAUCGUUACCAGCAAACUUCCUUCGAAAACCUCUCAAAACUUUGUCUCCUACCGAGCUCCCAAUUAAAUUUUGUGAGAUGAACUCAAAUUCGAUUUUGAACUUAAACAUUCUUCCAGUUAUUCCUUAAUCGCAAUCGUGACUUUAGCCUCGUGAUCGUGAAGCAUAAAAUAGACUGCCCCUUGAUUGAUCCUACGCGAUUGCGACACAACCCACAUGAUCACGAAGCUAUAAGACUUAAACUCACGUGAUCGCAACAAUGGCGAUGCGAUCACAAAUCUUACCACAGACUCACACGUCACAAUCCUACUCACGCGGUCGCCUAGAACAACUCAGCCCCUUCCCCCAAUAAGCCUACGUGAUCAUGGCCCCUUAUGCGCGAUCGCAAAGAACAAAAUAUUUGAAACAGACCUGAAGCAAAAUUUGCAACAUUUUCCAACUUGAAAUGAUCCGUUUAACCACCCGAAACACACCCAGAGGACCCCGGGACCCCAUCCAAGUGCAUCAACAUAUCUAAAAACCUUAUUCAAACAUGUACCAAUCCUUAAACCACCUAAAACAACUUUGAAAACUCUAAUUAAUCAAGGAUUUAAGCCUAAGAACUCUAAAUUUCCGUAAAUACGCUUUCGAUCAAAAACCCAACCAAACUAUAUCUGAAUGGCUUGAAACUUUGCACGCAUAUCCCAAAUGGUAUAACAGAACUACUUCAACUCACAAAAAUCCAUUCCGACCCUCAGAUAAAAAUCUUACUAUUGAACUAAAAAUUUCCAAAAAUUCAACUUUCGGCAUUUCAAGCCUAAGUUAGCUACAAACCUCCAAAACAUAGUCCGAACAUGUUCCCAACCCAAAAUCACCUAACAAAGCUAGCAGAAACAUCAGAUUUCUAUUUCGAGGCCGCCUUCAUACUAUUCCGACUAUAGUCAAUUUUCCAACACUUAAACUCUCAUUUUGGGAGUAAGUGUCCCAAAACUCUCCGAACUCAAAACCAAACAUUCCAGUAAAUCAAAUUUGCAUAAAUAAACUUGGGGAAAGUUGCAAAUAGGGGAUUAAGGCAUUAAUUCUUAAGACGACCGGCUCGGUCAUCACACUCUGUGACUGAUCCUUCACUGAUUUUUGUGAUUUUCUUUAUUGAUUUUAACCUUUAAGAUGUUUUCUUACCUUAAUCUACGGUCGGACAUGUUGUCACCAGAUUCUUAAGUAUUUUCCUUGAUUAGAGUCUACUAAACCUAGUCUCUAUUACAUGUUGUGUACUUAUACAAUGCUGAAAAUAUUUCCUUAUUUAUUAUAUUCAUACUUAUGUGAUUUCCUUCCUCAUUUAGUAUUUUCCUGUUACCGUUUAAAUUUAACUCCUUAAUUAAUGGAAGUACUUAUUCUGAUUUGAUUCUAAUUAGUACAUAGUUCCAUGAUUACUUGUGAUGACAGAAAGGGGUCAUCACCUAUUUACUUACUCAUUCGAUGCUUAUGAGGACUUGAAACCUCAUUUAGGGUUGCCUCAAUUUGCGUGCGAUGUCCUGGCCUGUAGCCGGAAAUGCCUAAAUAUGAAUUAUAUGAGAAAAAUGAUAAAAUUUGAUAUUAUAUUGAAUAAAUUUGAUUUCAGUCGACGUUUUUGGUAUAUGGAUGCGGACCCGUGAUUUGUCCGCUCCUGAGGGUCCGCAGAAAAAUAUAGGACUUGUGCGUAUGCCCGGAGUUGAAUUCCAAGGUCCCAAGCCCGGAAAUUAAUUUUUGGGUAAAAUUAUUUUCUGAAAAGUUUUUAAGGAAAAUGGAGAUGAAAUUUGAUUAAAACACUAAGUUAUCAUGCUCGUAUUUUGGUUUCAGUGUACGAUCAAGUCUUAUAUAUGGUUUAAGGGCUUUCUGUAAAGUUUAGUUUAAAACGGACGUCAUUUGACGUGUUUCAGACUUAAAUUAGAAAUUUGAUGUUUUAGGAGAAUUUUGAAGAAAUCAUUAGUUUUGUGGCUUGAUUCAAUGUUCAUGAUGUUAUUUUGGCGAUUUGAUUGCGCGAGUAAGUUUGUAGGAUUUUUUGAGGUUUUGUGUAUGUUUAGUUUUGAGCCCUGAGGGCUCGGGCGAGUUUUGGAUAGGCCACGAGAGCAUUUUUGGAAGUUGAAUCACAGCUGAUGCACUUCUAACCUGCAGGCUUCGCAAAUGCGAAUGGCCUCUCGCAAUUGCGAAGAUAGCCCAGGUCCACCCAUUCUCUCAAAUGCGAGACUGCACUUCGCAAAUGCGAAGGAAUAUUAUUUCUACUGUGUUCGCAAAUGCGACCAAGGGCUCGCAAAUGUGAAGGCACAGUGUUCGCAAAUGCGACAACGAGUUCGCAAACGUAAAGUCCUCCCUUUUGGCCCUAGUUCGCAAAUACGAACUAUGGUUCGCAAUUCCCACAUUUGGUCGGGGUUCGCAAUUGCAAACUCUAGUUCGCAAUUCCCAUAUCUGCAGCCCAGCAAUUUUAUACUAAGUCGAAUUUUUACCGUUUUUCACAAUAUUUUCAAACCCCAAACUUCAUAGGCAAUUUUUUAAGAUCAAGUUUCAUUCCAAAUCAUUUCUAAGACAAUUUUUACUCAAUUCUUUCAAUCAUUAACAUCAUCCAAUAUGUUUUCAACCUAAAAACAAGGAUUUUCGUAGGUAAAAUUAUGGUUUUUGGGUAAAACCUUGGUCUUCCUAAAAUUUGGGAUUUGGGCCCCAAUUUUAGGUCUGAUUUCAAAACAAAUUAGAUAUUUGGAGUCGUGGUGGAAUGUGUAACUGGAUUUUUGUUCGAACCUCGGGUCUUGACCACGUGUGCCCGGGGGCGUUUUUGGACGUUUUGGGCAAAACUUUAGGAAAUUCAUUUCUAUGCAUUGAAAUUGAGUUAAUUAGCAUUUGUUGAUGUAAUUAAGUAAUUUUUGACUAGGUUCGAGCGAAAUUGUGGUGGAAUCGAGGGGUAAAGCUAUAAUCGAGGCUUGAGGUGAGUAAUGAUAAUAAAUAAUAUCUUGAGGGUUUGAAACCCCGGAUUUGCACAACGUAGUGCUAUAUUGAGGUGAAACACGCGCUUAAUGAUGAGCGUGGGGUUGUUAACGAUUGGGGAUUGUAACUUGUUCCAUACUGAUUAAUAUUUUUGCUGCGUAUUUGAUUGAGACAUGUUUGUUAUCAACAUGAUUUUGGUUUAUUGCCCUAUUUUGGGAUUCAUGCUGAUUUGCUUGAAUCCUUUGUGGACUUUUAUCACCGUUUCCUCACUAUUUUGAUAUAUUACUUGAUCUCAGUCCUAUUGAUUAAUACCGUUUUACAAAAUCAGCCACCUUUAAUUGAAUUUUGAGAUUUAUAUGAUAUUUUCAUUGUUGUUUGGGCUGGGCACUGCUGUUUUCUGAUGCCCAAGGGGCUUGUGAUGAUUUCUGAACUGAGUUAGGCCGAGGGCCAUAUAUGAGGAUAUGCUGAGUGAUAUGAUAUGCUUUAUUUGCUACGUGGUGGCUUGAGUGAUGGGAGGCCGAGCUAUGUGAGGCCGACUGCCGAGUGAUGAUGCCACGAGAUGACUUGAUAUAGUGCUUGGGCCGUAAGGGGCACUUCCAGAGUCUGCACACCCACAGUGAGCGCGCAUACACAUAUGAUCAGAUAUGGAGCCCGAGGGGCUGAUACUAUGAUGAGUGACUGAGAGCGAGCCCGAGGGGCUGAUACUAUUGCAAGUGAAUAAUAGUGAGCCCGCGGGGCUGAUACUAUGAUGAGAGAUUGAUAGUGGAAUCGAGGGGCAGAUUACUACUCACUAUUUACUUGUUGUUUUACCUGAUUACCUUUUUUAAAAGGAGAGUUCAUUUGAUUCAUUACGGUUUUGCUGCUUUAAGUGAUUUACUGCCUGGUAUAGAAUUGCCUUGUGCAUUUAUGUGUUUCCAUGCUUUCAUCCGUUAUUUAUUGUUAUGACUCACUAGGUCGGAGUACUCACAUUACUCUUGCACCAUGUGUGCAGAUGCAGGCAUAGCAGAGUCCGCACGUGGGCGCUGAUUCCCAUCCAAACCAAGUAGCAAUUUGGAGUUUCGAGGUAGCUAUUGAUAUCUGCUGCCCCUUGUCUCCCCUAUCCCCUACCAUUUACGUAUUCUUCAGACUAUUGUAUUAGAUUUUAUACUUUGUAGACUUAUAGCAGACUCUAUA